GAUCAUGGCUCAGGACGAACGCUGGCGGCGCGCCUAACACAUGCAAGUCGAACGAGAGAUGAGGAGCUUGCUCUUCAAAUCGAGUGGCGAACGGGUGAGUAACGCGUGAGGAACCUGCCUCAAAGAGGGGGACAACAGUUGGAAACGACUGCUAAAUACCGCAUAAGCCCACGGCUCGGCAUCGAGCAGAGGGGAAAGGAGUGAUCCACUUUGAGAUGGCCUCGCGUCCGAUUAG
RNAcentral lists this ribosomal RNA (235 nucleotides) under uncultured bacterium. Its description in RNAcentral is "partial 16S ribosomal RNA". It matches the Rfam family "Bacterial small subunit ribosomal RNA", at positions 15 to 244 of the family's 1533-position model. The record is from RNAcentral.